This 1240-nucleotide ribosomal RNA is filed under the name metagenome. Its description in RNAcentral is "bacterial LSU rRNA". It matches the Rfam family "Bacterial large subunit ribosomal RNA", at positions 1564 to 2814 of the family's 2925-position model. The record is from RNAcentral.
UGAAUACGAGACGCUAAGGCGUCGAAGUAGUGUAUGUCAUACUUCCAAGAAAAGCUUGCACUGUCAUAGAUAAAAAACGCCUGUACCAUAACCGACACAGGUGGGUAGGUAGAGUAUACUAAGGGGCGCGAGAUAACUCUCUCUAAGGAACUCGGCAAAAUAACUCCGUAACUUCGGGAGAAGGAGUGCCUUAUUCGUAAGGUUGCAAUAACAAGAUCCAAGCAACUGUUUAUCAAAAACACAGGUCUCCGCUAAGUCGUAAGACGAUGUAUGGGGGCUGACGCCUGCCCAGUGCCAGAAGGUUAAAGAAGUUGGUUAGCAAUUGCGAAGCUGAUAACUGAAGCCCUGGUGAACGGCGGCCGUAACAAUAACGGUCCUAAGGUAGCGAAAUUCCUUGUCGGGUAAGUUCCGACCCGCACGAAAGGCGUAAUGAUUUGGAUACUGUCUCGGAGAGGGGCUCGGUGAAAUAGACUUGUCUGUGAAGAUGCGGACUACCUGCACCAGGACAGAAAGACCCUAUGAAGCUUUACUGUAACUUGAAAUUGAAAUUGGACUUUAUUCGCGCAGUAUAGGUGGUAGGCGUUGAUUAUAAUCUUGUGGGAUUAUUGGAGCCAUCAGUGAGAUACCACUCUUGUAAUGUUAGAUUUCUAACUUUGAAUCAUUAUCUGGUCAAAGAACAGUUUCAGGCGGGCAGUUUGACUGGGGCGGUCGCCUCCUAAACGGUAACGGAGGCGUACAAAGGUUUCCUCUGAACGGUUAGAAAUCGUAUCUAGAGUGUAAAGGCAUAAGGAAGCUUGACUGUGAGACCUACAAGUCGAGCAGGGACGAAAGUCGGUCUUAGUGAUCUGACGGUACUGAGUGGAAAGGCCGUCACUCAACGGAUAAAAGUUACUCUAGGAUAACAGGCUGAUCUCCCCCAAGAGUUCACAUCGACGGGGAGGUUUGGCACCUUGAUGUCGGCUCAUCGCAUCCUGGGGCGGUAGUACGUCCCAAGGGUUGGGCUGUUCGCCCAUGAAAGCGGUACGCGAGCUGGGUUCAGAACGUCGUGAGACAGUUCGGUCCAUAUCCGGUGUAGGCGUUAGAAUAUUGAGAGGAGCCUUCUUUAGUACGAGAGGACCGAGAAGGACAUACCUCUGGUGUACCAGUUAUCGUGCCAACGGUAAACGCUGGGUAGCUAUGUAUGGAGUGGAUAACCGCUGAAAGCAUCUAAGUGGGAAGCCCACCUCAAGAUAAGUAUUCC